Molecule: ribosomal RNA, 253 nt
Filed under: uncultured bacterium
Lineage: Bacteria
Description: partial 16S ribosomal RNA
Rfam family: Bacterial small subunit ribosomal RNA
Source: RNAcentral
UACGUAGGGCGCAAGCGUUGUCCGGAAUUAUUGGGCGUAAAGAGCUCGUAGGCGGUCUGUUACGUCCGCUGUGAAAACCCAGGGCUUAACCCUGGGCUUGCAGUGGAUACGGGUAGACUAGAGGCAGGUAGGGGAGAAUGGAAUUCCCGGUGUAGCGGUGAAAUGCGUAGAUAUCGGAAGGAACAUCAGUGGCGAAAGCGACUUCCUGGACCAAUACUGACGCUCAUGUGCGAAAGCGUGGGGAGCAAACAGG